AGAGUUGAUCCUGCUCAGAUGAACGCUAGCGGAGCUAACACAUGCAAGUCGAGGGGCAGCAUUUCUAGCUUGCUAGAAGAUGGCGACCGGCGCACGGGUGCGUAACGCGUAUGCAACUUGCCCUAAACUGGAGGAUAUCCCAAAGAAAUUUGGACCAAUACUCCAUAGUAUCACGAAUUCGCAUGUUUUUGUGAUUAAAGCUUCGGCGGUUUAGGAUGGGCAUGCGUCCCAUUAGCUUGUUGGUGAGGUAACGGCUCACCAAGGCUACGAUGGGUAGGGGGCCUGAGAGGGUGAACCCCCACACUGGUACUGAGACACGGACCAGACUCCUACGGGAGGCAGCAGUGAGGAAUAUUGGUCAAUGGAGGAAACUCUGAACCAGCCAUCCCGCGUGAAGGAUGAAUGCCCUAGUGGUUGUAAACUUCUUUUAUAUAGGAAUAACCGUAGGUACGUGUACCUGCCUGAAUGUACUAUAUGAAUAAGCAUCGGCUAACUCCGUGCCAGCAGCCGCGGUAAUACGGAGGAUGCAAGCGUUAUCCGGAUUUAUUGGGUUUAAAGGGUCCGCAGGCGGACUAUUAAGUCAGUGGUGAAAGCCUGUAGCUUAACUACAGAACUGCCAUUGAUACUGAUAGUCUUGAGUCUGGUUGAAGUGGGCGGAAUAUGACAUGUAGCGGUGAAAUGCAUAGAGAUGUCAUAGAACACCAAUUGCGAAGGCAGCUCACUAAACCAGUACUGACGCUCAGGGACGAAAGCGUGGGGAGCGAACAGGAUUAGAUACCCUGGUAGUCCACGCCGUAAACUAUGAUCACUCGAUGUCGGCGAUACAAUGUCGGUGUCUAAGCGAAAGUGUUAAGUGAUCCACCUGGGGAGUACGUUCGCAAGAAUGAAACUCAAAGGAAAUUGACGG
Molecule: ribosomal RNA, 907 nt
Filed under: uncultured marine bacterium
Lineage: Bacteria
Description: bacterial SSU rRNA
Rfam family: Bacterial small subunit ribosomal RNA
Source: RNAcentral